CAGCAGCCGCGGGAAUACGUAGGUGGCAAGCGUUGUCCGGAAUUAUUGGGCGUAAAGCGUCUGUAGGUGGCUUUUCAAGUCCGCCGUCAAAUCCCAGGGCUCAACCCUGGACAGGCGGUGGAAACUACCAAGCUGGAGUACGGUAGGGGCAGAGGGAAUUUCCAGUGGAGCGGUGAAAUGCGUUGAGAUCGAAAAGAACACCAACAGCGAAAGCACUCUGCUGGGACGACACUGACACUAAGAGACGAAAGCUAGGGGAGCAAAUGGGAUUAGAGACCCGUGUAGUCCCUGUCUCUUAUAC
This 301-nucleotide ribosomal RNA is filed under the name uncultured bacterium. Its description in RNAcentral is "partial 16S ribosomal RNA". It matches the Rfam family "Bacterial small subunit ribosomal RNA", at positions 509 to 807 of the family's 1533-position model. The record is from RNAcentral.